CUACACAUGCAGUCGAGCGAGAGAAUUCCUUCGGGAAUGGAUCUAGCGGCGGACGGGUGAGUAACACGUGGGCAACCUGCCUCAAAGAGGGGGAUAGCCUCCCGAAAGGGAGAUUAAUACCGCAUAAAGUUAUUUUAUCGCAUGGUAAAAUAACCAAAGGAGAAAUCCACUUUGAGAUGGGCCCGCGGCGCAUUAGCUAGUUGGUAAGGUAACGGCUUACCAAGGCAGCGAUGCGUAGCCGACCUGAGAGGGUAAUCGGCCACAUUGGAACUGAGAGACGGUCCAGACUCCUACGGGAGGCAGCAGUGGGGAAUAUUGCACAAUGGGCGAAAGCCUGAUGCAGCAACGCCGCGUGGGUGAUGAAGGUUUUCGGAUUGUAAAGCCCUGUCUUUUGGGACGAUAAUGACGGUACCAAAGGAGGAAGCCACGGCUAACUACGUGCCAGCAGCCGCGGUAAUACGUAGGUGGCGAGCGUUGUCCGGAUUUACUGGGCGUAAAGGGUGCGUAGGCGGAUAUUUAAGUGGGAUGUGAAAACCCCGGGCUCAACCUGGGGACUGCAUUUCAAACUGGAUAUCUAGAGUGCAGGAGAGGAAAGCGGAAUUCCUAGUGUAGCGGUGGAAUGCGUAGAGAUUAGGAAGAACACCAGUGGCGAAGGCGGCUUUCUGGACUGUAACUGACGCUGAGGCACGAAAGCGUGGGUAGCAAACAGGAUUAGAUACCCUGGUAGUCCACGCCGUAAA
This 740-nucleotide ribosomal RNA is filed under the name uncultured bacterium. Its description in RNAcentral is "bacterial SSU rRNA". It matches the Rfam family "Bacterial small subunit ribosomal RNA", at positions 49 to 806 of the family's 1533-position model. The record is from RNAcentral.